Molecule: ribosomal RNA, 541 nt
Filed under: uncultured bacterium
Lineage: Bacteria
Description: bacterial SSU rRNA
Rfam family: Bacterial small subunit ribosomal RNA
Source: RNAcentral
GGGGAAUAUUGCACAAUGGGCGAAAGCCUGAUGCAGCGACGCCGCGUGAGGGAUGACGGCCUUCGGGUUGUAAACCUUUUUCGCUCAUGGUCAAGCCGCAACAAUGGUUGUGGUGAGGGUAGUGGGUAAAGAAGCGCCGGCUAACUACGUGCCAGCAGCCGCGGUAAUACGUAGGGCGCGAGCGUUGUCCGGAAUUAUUGGGCGUAAAGGGCUUGUAGGCGGUUGGUCGCGUCUGCCGUGAAAUCCUCUGGCUUAACUGGGGGCGUGCGGUGGGUACGGGCUGACUUGAGUGCGGUAGGGGAGACUGGAACUCCUGGUGUAGCGGUGGAAUGCGCAGAUAUCAGGAAGAACACCGGUGGCGAAGGCGGGUCUCUGGGCCGUUACUGACGCUGAGGAGCGAAAGCGUGGGGAGCGAACAGGAUUAGAUACCCUGGUAGUCCACGCUGUAAACGUUGGGCACUAGGUGUGGGGGCCACCCGUGGUUUCUGCGCCGUAGCUAACGCUUUAAGUGCCCCGCCUGGGGAGUACGGCCGCAAGGCUA